This is a long non-coding RNA of Syzygium oleosum, 1585 nucleotides long. RefSeq lists it as uncharacterized. Lineage: Eukaryota; Viridiplantae; Streptophyta; Magnoliopsida; Myrtales; Myrtaceae. The transcript has 4 exons. The record is from RefSeq and is a predicted model, not a curated record.
CAUAGUUACUCAAUUUGUACAUGAAUGGUCUCCUUAACAUACAGAAUAUUCAUAGUGCAUUCAGUGAGAAUCAUAUGGCCACUAAUAAUAGCUCAUCAAUGAAAUCUUUAGUUGCAGAAGCUGUUUAUCUGUCCCAGCAGAUUGGUGUUGGUGCUUAAAUCCUUUCCAUGAUUUCUACUUGUGUAGCCAUUCUGGCAGUGCAUCCGUGAGGCACGGUUGAUAAUUUGCUUUGAAGUUUGUCACAUCCUGAAAUUUACAAUUACCUUCACUUGUUGCGGGAGUGGUCCCUUAUAUAAUGUGAAAAGAACAGGCGAGCUUUUUUGGUAGCAGAAUAUGAUGGGCAAUCCUCUACAAUCCAGUUAGGAUGCCUUAUACUUGCUGGGUUAUUGUGUGAUUUUCUGCUGGGGGAGGCUCUGCUGGGUUAAAUGUUUUUUGGCUGACAUCCUGAGUCUUUGACCGGCUUAAUGUUGGGAUUGAGGAACACUCAAGCUUUGCUUCGGGGUUCUAGCUUCUAGUUUGUGCUUUAUUUGUUUAUUUAGUAACCAUUUGUUAGAGUUUGAUAUGUAGGGUCAUCAACCUUCAUAAGCCUACAAUGAGAUUUUUCAACAUUGCAUUCGCUCUGAAAUUAGCUCCCACUGUUUCCAUGGGCGAUUGUCUUAGAUAGCAUCAAUCUCUUGCCAUCCCUUAUUGCACUGCUCUUGUGUGAGAGAAAAUCACUGAGCAGUUGGACUGGAGCUAAAUAACAAGACAGUGGGAGAGGAAGGAACGCCAAGAUGCUAUGUGUAAGUUAGUAGAGGAGAAGGUGGAUCUUAUGCUAGUCGUUGGUGGGUGGAACUCAAGCAACACAUCUCACCUACAAGAGAUGGCUGAAGAACGUGGGAUGCCCUCUUGUUGGGUUGACAGUGAGCAGAGAAUAGGUCCUGGAAACAGAAUAGCCUACAAAUUGAGCCAUGGAGAAUUAGCGGAGAAAGAAAAUUGGCUUCCAGAGAGUCCCAUAGCAAUUGGUGUAACAUCAGGAGCUUCUACUGCGGAUAAGUGUCAAGCAUGAGUACGAGGUAUGGGAUCAUGAGCACACAAAAUAAACCACAUGCCAAGCAAACACCACAGAACAGCUCUUAGCCAAAGAAGUCCCGCUGGACCUUGACUCGACCACUGAGAUCAUGUUCACAUACAAUAUCGUCUACGAGUGUGGCAGGGUUGAAAGUGGUACCCAUUGGUACGACGACGAGCAACUAUUCAUUGAUCCUCCAUCUCCUCUGCUCUAGCGGCUCUCCUCCUCCUCUCUUGCAUCAUCGCGGGAAUCUUCAUAAGCUUCUUUUACAAAGAAGAUGAUGAAUAUGAUCUGUUGAACUCCCAGCCUGAAGAGGACCUUCAGGGAGAAACCAGAUGGGGAAUUGUAUUACAAUACGUUUUUAGGCCGCCUUCAAAUGUAACUUCACUGUGUGUUCACACAGCGGCGGGGGUCCAAGUGGUUGGGAUGAUGUUAAUCGCUAUAGUUGUGGUAAUAGUUAGAAGAAACUUUGAUUUCGAAGGAGAGCAUGUAAGUUUGCCCAUCAAUCAACGAGGACUUGUGUCCAUGAUGAUA